This 450-nucleotide ribosomal RNA is filed under the name uncultured bacterium. RNAcentral describes it as "partial 16S ribosomal RNA". It matches the Rfam family "Bacterial small subunit ribosomal RNA", at positions 354 to 796 of the family's 1533-position model. The record is from RNAcentral.
GUGGGGAAUAUUGGACAAUGGGCGAAAGCCUGAUCCAGCCAUGCCGCGUGUGUGAAGAAGGUCUUCGGAUUGUAAAGCACUUUAAGUUGGGAGGAAGGGCAGUAAGUUAAUACCUUGCUGUUUUGACGUUACCGACAGAAUAAGCACCGGCUAGCUUCGUGCCAGCAGCCGCGGUAAUACGAAGGGUGCAAGCGUUAAUCGGAAUUACUGGGCGUAAAGCGCGCGUAGGUGGUUUUGUAAGUUGGAGGUGAAAUCCCCGGGCUCAACCUGGGAACUGCCUCCAAAACUGCAUGACUAGAGUACGGUAGAGGGUAGUGGAAUUUCCUGUGUAGCGGUGAAAUGCGUAGAUAUAGGAAGGAACACCAGUGGCGAAGGCGACUACCUGGACUGAUACUGACACUGAGGUGCGAAAGCGUGGGGAGCAAACAGGAUUAGAUACCCGGGUAGUCC